This is a long non-coding RNA of Syngnathus acus (greater pipefish), 234 nucleotides long. RefSeq lists it as uncharacterized. NCBI's taxonomy places the organism in Eukaryota, Metazoa, Chordata, Actinopteri, Syngnathiformes, Syngnathidae. The record is from RefSeq and is a predicted model, not a curated record. The transcript has 3 exons.
AUGUAUGACAUUUAGAAUAGAAUAGAAUGCCCUUUAUUGUCAUUUUACAACUUAGUUGUACAACGAAAUUCGGAUAGCUGCUCCCUUCUUAGUGCAAACAUUACAAAAUUUAAAAAAAGCAUAAAAGGAAAUAUGAGAAUAAAAGUGAAAGAUCUUAUUUACAGUAUAGCUAUUAGUCUAAGAAUGAAGGUUAAAAAAAAAAUCUUAUUUACAGUAUGUUCAAUGUGGGUAUAU